Molecule: ribosomal RNA, 253 nt
Filed under: uncultured bacterium
Lineage: Bacteria
Description: partial 16S ribosomal RNA
Rfam family: Bacterial small subunit ribosomal RNA
Source: RNAcentral
UACGUAGGGUGCAAGCGUUAAUCGGAAUUACUGGGUUUAAAGGGUGCGUAGGCGGUUUUGUAAGUCUGACGUGAAAUCCCCGGGCUCAACCUGGGAAUUGCGAUGGAGACUGCAAGGCUUGAAUCUGGCAGAGGGGGGUAGAAUUCCACGUGUAGCAGUGAAAUGCGUAGAGAUGUGGAGGAACACCGAUGGCGAAGGCAGCCCCCUGGGUCAAGAUUGACGCUCAUGCACGAAAGCGUGGGGAGCAAACAGG